This 28-nucleotide non-coding RNA is filed under the name Homo sapiens (human). Lineage: Eukaryota; Metazoa; Chordata; Mammalia; Primates; Hominidae. The record is from RNAcentral.
UUGGUGGAAUGCGUGGUCAACUGUCAGC